RNAcentral lists this ribosomal RNA (878 nucleotides) under uncultured bacterium. RNAcentral's name for it is "bacterial SSU rRNA". It matches the Rfam family "Bacterial small subunit ribosomal RNA", at positions 29 to 920 of the family's 1533-position model. The record is from RNAcentral.
ACGAACGCUGGCGGCGCGCCUAACACAUGCAAGUCGAACGAGCGAGAGAGAGCUUGCUUUCUCGAGCGAGUGGCGAACGGGUGAGUAACGCGUGAGGAACCUGCCUCAAAGAGGGGGACAACAGUUGGAAACGACUGCUAAUACCGCAUAAGCCCACGACCCGGCAUCGGGUUGAGGGAAAAGGAGCAAUCCGCUUUGAGAUGGCCUCGCGUCCGAUUAGCUAGUUGGUGAGGUAACGGCCCACCAAGGCAACGAUCGGUAGCCGGACUGAGAGGUUGAACGGCCACAUUGGGACUGAGACACGGCCCAGACUCCUACGGGAGGCAGCAGUGGGGAAUAUUGCACAAUGGGGGAAACCCUGAUGCAGCGACGCCGCGUGGAGGAAGAAGGUCUUCGGAUUGUAAACUCCUGUUGUUGAGGAAGAUAAUGACGGUACUCAACAAGGAAGUGACGGCUAACUACGUGCCAGCAGCCGCGGUAAAACGUAGGUCACAAGCGUUGUCCGGAAUUACUGGGUGUAAAGGGAGCGCAGGCGGGAAGACAAGUUGGAAGUGAAAUCCAUGGGCUCAACCCAUGAACUGCUUUCAAAACUGUUUUUCUUGAGUAGUGCAGAGGUAGGCGGAAUUCCCGGUGUAGCGGUGGAAUGCGUAGAUAUCGGGAGGAACACCAGUGGCGAAGGCGGCCUACUGGGCACCAACUGACGCUGAGGCUCGAAAGUGUGGGUAGCAAACAGGAUUAGAUACCCUGGUAGUCCACACCGUAAACGAUGAUUACUAGGUGUUGGAGGAUUGACCCCUUCAGUGCCGCAGUUAACACAAUAAGUAAUCCACCUGGGGAGUACGACCGCAAGGUUGAAACUCAAAGGAAUUGACGGAAGG